This 22-nucleotide microRNA is filed under the name Drosophila virilis. Its description in RNAcentral is "dvi-miR-9710-3p". The record is from miRBase by way of RNAcentral. Lineage: Eukaryota; Metazoa; Arthropoda; Insecta; Diptera; Drosophilidae.
UGGAAGAUCCGCUAUGUAAAAU